Molecule: ribosomal RNA, 410 nt
Filed under: uncultured microorganism
Description: bacterial SSU rRNA
Rfam family: Bacterial small subunit ribosomal RNA
Source: RNAcentral
CAGCAGCCGCGGUAAUACGUAGGGUGCGAGCGUUCAUCGGAUUUACUGGGCGUAAAGCGUGCGCAGGCGGCCCGUUAAGACAGGUGUGAAAUCCCUGGGCUCAACCUAGGAAUUGCGCUUGUGACUGGCGGGCUCGAGUACGGUAGAGGGGGGUGGAAUUCCUGGUGUAGCAGUGAAAUGCGUAGAGAUCAGGAGGAACACCGAUGGCGAAGGCAGCCCCCUGGGCCUGUACUGACGCUCAUGCACGAAAGCGUGGGGAGCAAACAGGAUUAGAUACCCUGGUAGUCCACGCCCUAAACGAUGGGUACUAGCCGUUUGGUGCGCGAUAGCGCUGAGUGGCGAAGCUAACGCGUGAAGUACCCCGCCUGGGGAGUACGGCCGCAAGGUUGAAACUUAAAGGAAAUGGCGGG